Pangasianodon gigas (Mekong giant catfish) is the source of this 74-nucleotide non-coding RNA. The record is from the annotation of a GenBank genome assembly. Lineage: Eukaryota; Metazoa; Chordata; Actinopteri; Siluriformes; Pangasiidae.
GGAAUUGGUAGUUCAGUGGUUAAGACAUUGGACUUCUGAUUGGAAGGUGGAGAGUUCAAAUCCCAGCACUGCCA